This 989-nucleotide ribosomal RNA is filed under the name Frondihabitans sp. 746H33. RNAcentral describes it as "bacterial SSU rRNA". It matches the Rfam family "Bacterial small subunit ribosomal RNA", at positions 56 to 1052 of the family's 1533-position model. Lineage: Bacteria; Bacillati; Actinomycetota; Actinomycetes; Micrococcales; Microbacteriaceae. The record is from RNAcentral.
UGCAAGUCGAACGAUGAUCCCCAGCUUGCUGGGGGGAUUAGUGGCGAACGGGUGAGUAACACGUGAGUAACCUGCCCUUGACUCUGGGAUAAGCGUUGGAAACGACGUCUAAUACCGGAUAUGACUCCUGGCCGCAUGGUCUGGGGGUGGAAAGAUUUUUUGGUCAAGGAUGGACUCGCGGCCUAUCAGGUAGUUGGUGAGGUAAUGGCUCACCAAGCCGACGACGGGUAGCCGGCCUGAGAGGGUGACCGGCCACACUGGGACUGAGACACGGCCCAGACUCCUACGGGAGGCAGCAGUGGGGAAUAUUGCACAAUGGGCGAAAGCCUGAUGCAGCAACGCCGCGUGAGGGACGACGGCCUUCGGGUUGUAAACCUCUUUUAGUAGGGAAGAAGGGAGCUUGCUCUUGACGGUACCUGCAGAAAAAGCACCGGCUAACUACGUGCCAGCAGCCGCGGUAAUACGUAGGGUGCAAGCGUUGUCCGGAAUUAUUGGGCGUAAAGAGCUCGUAGGCGGUUUGUCGCGUCUGCUGUGAAAUCUGGGGGCUCAACCCCCAGCCUGCAGUGGGUACGGGCAGACUAGAGUGCGGUAGGGGAGAUUGGAAUUCCUGGUGUAGCGGUGGAAUGCGCAGAUAUCAGGAGGAACACCGAUGGCGAAGGCAGAUCUCUGGGCCGUAACUGACGCUGAGGAGCGAAAGCAUGGGGAGCGAACAGGAUUAGAUACCCUGGUAGUCCAUGCCGUAAACGUUGGGAACUAGAUGUAGGGGCCAUUCCACGGUUUCUGUGUCGCAGCUAACGCAUUAAGUUCCCCGCCUGGGGAGUACGGCCGCAAGGCUAAAACUCAAAGGAAUUGACGGGGGCCCGCACAAGCGGCGGAGCAUGCGGAUUAAUUCGAUGCAACGCGAAGAACCUUACCAAGGCUUGACAUAUACCGGAAACGUCCAGAGAUGGUCGCCCCGCAAGGUCGGUAUACAGGUGGUGCAUGGUUGU